GAUGAACGCUGGCGGCGUGCUUAACACAUGCAAGUCGAACGAGAAAUGGAGACGGAAACCUUCGGGCGGAAGGCUUCAUUUCGAGUGGCGGACGGGUGAGUAACGCGUGGGUAACCUGCCUCAUACAGGGGGAUAACAGUUGGAAACGACUGUUAAUACCGCAUAAGACCACAGCACCGCAUGGUGCGGGGGUAAAAACUCCGGUGGUAUGAGAUGGACCCGCGUUCGAUUAGCCAGUUGGCGGGGUAACGGCCCACCAAAGCGACGAUCGAUAGCCGAUCUGAGAGGAUGACCGGCCACAUUGGGACUGAGACACGGCUCAAACUCCUACGGGAGGCAGCAGUGGGGAAUAUUGCACAAUGGGGGAAACCCUGAUGCAGCGACGCCGCGUGAGUGAAGAAGUACUUCGGUAUGUAAAGCUCUAUCAGCAGGGAAGAAAAUGACGGUACCUGAGGAAGAAGCCCCGGCUAACUACGUG
Molecule: ribosomal RNA, 478 nt
Filed under: uncultured bacterium
Lineage: Bacteria
Description: partial 16S ribosomal RNA
Rfam family: Bacterial small subunit ribosomal RNA
Source: RNAcentral